GCCCUGGUGGUCUAGCAGUGAGGACUUGGUGCUUUCACUGCUAUGGCCUGGGUUCAAUCCCUGGUCUGGGGA
This 72-nucleotide transfer RNA is filed under the name Sus scrofa (pig). It matches the Rfam family "tRNA". From Rfam's summary of the family: Transfer RNA (tRNA) molecules are approximately 80 nucleotides in length. Their secondary structure includes four short double-helical elements and three loops (D, anti-codon, and T loops). Lineage: Eukaryota; Metazoa; Chordata; Mammalia; Artiodactyla; Suidae. The record is from Rfam by way of RNAcentral.